RNAcentral lists this ribosomal RNA (488 nucleotides) under uncultured bacterium. RNAcentral's name for it is "bacterial SSU rRNA". It matches the Rfam family "Bacterial small subunit ribosomal RNA", at positions 28 to 507 of the family's 1533-position model. The record is from RNAcentral.
GACGAACGCUGGCGGCGUGGAUUAGGCAUGCAAGUCGAACGGUAGGAUACCUUCGGGUAUCUGAGAGUGGCGAACGGGUGAGUAACACGUAGGUGAUCUACCCUCAAGAUUGGGACAACCCAGGGAAACUUGGGCUAAUACCGGAUGAAAGCAGCAGCGAUGUUGUUUGAAAGGUGGCGUAAGCUGCCGUUUGGGGAUGAGCCUGCGCUCUAUUAGUUAGUUGGCGGGGUAAAGGCCCACCAAGGCGAUGAUAGAUAGGCGGCCUUAACGGGUGGUCGCCCACACUGGGAUUGAGAUACGGCCCAGACUCCUACGGGAGGCAGCAGUCGAGAAUAGUCUACAAUGGCCGAAAGGCUGAUAGUGCGACGCCGCGUGAACGAAGAAGCCCUUCGGGGUGUAAAGUUCUUUUAUAUGUGAGCAGUGCUUUCUAUGUGAACAGCAUAGGGAGAGAGAUAUUAGCAUAUGAAUAAGCAACGGCUAACUCCGUG